GCUUCCGGAGAGAGGAAAGUCCGGGCUCCACAGGACGCGGUGGUGGGUAACGCCCACCGUCCGUUUCCGCCCCGCGGCGGAUGCGGAUAGGGAAAGUGCAACAGAAAGAAUACCGCCAGCGUCAUUGGUCAUUCGUCAUUGGUCAUUCGCUUCGGAUCGGGCCUAUCCCCGCGCACGCUCGCGAUGGGCCGUUAUCGGCGAAUGACGAAUGACCAGUGACUAAUGACGAGGGUAAGGGUGAAAAGGUGCGGUAAGAGCGCACCAGCAGCCUGGUGACAGGCUGGCUCGGCAAACCCCACCGGGAGCAAGGCCAAAUAAGGGAGCAGGGUCGGUCCGGCCCGCUAUGACUCCCGGGUAGGCCGCUCGACCGGCCGGGCAACCGGCAGGCUAGAUAAAU
Molecule: RNase P RNA, 397 nt
Filed under: Planctomycetota bacterium
Lineage: Bacteria; Pseudomonadati; Planctomycetota
Description: Planctomycetes bacterium RNase P RNA component class A
Rfam family: Bacterial RNase P class A
About the family: Ribonuclease P (RNase P) is a ubiquitous endoribonuclease, found in archaea, bacteria and eukarya as well as chloroplasts and mitochondria. Its best characterised activity is the generation of mature 5'-ends of tRNAs by cleaving the 5'-leader elements of precursor-tRNAs. Cellular RNase Ps are ribonucleoproteins.
Source: RNAcentral